UUGUUUGCUAUUGCAACAUCUUCAAGAUUCAGAAAUCAGAUUCUUUGUAUGGGCUCUCUCUCCUUUGGAGAACCUAUAUUAUUUGGUUUGAGAAUCUUGAUGAUGCUGCAGCGGCAAUUAA
This 121-nucleotide microRNA precursor is filed under the name Capsella rubella. RNAcentral's name for it is "mir-172 microRNA precursor family". It matches the Rfam family "mir-172 microRNA precursor family". Rfam says of the family: mir-172 has been experimentally verified in Arabidopsis thaliana. This family is thought to target mRNAs coding for APETALA2-like transcription factors. Lineage: Eukaryota; Viridiplantae; Streptophyta; Magnoliopsida; Brassicales; Brassicaceae. The record is from Rfam by way of RNAcentral.